GGCGGAUCCCUGUUAGCGGUCCUGUGGGCCGCUGGACGGGUGUGCUCUAGUUUCAUGUGGCGCUCGAUCAUGACUAGAGUCACACUCGUCCAGCGACCGGGACAUCCUCGUC
This 112-nucleotide microRNA precursor is filed under the name Dinoponera quadriceps. Lineage: Eukaryota; Metazoa; Arthropoda; Insecta; Hymenoptera; Formicidae. The record is from RNAcentral.